RNAcentral lists this ribosomal RNA (741 nucleotides) under uncultured bacterium. RNAcentral's name for it is "bacterial SSU rRNA". It matches the Rfam family "Bacterial small subunit ribosomal RNA", at positions 73 to 800 of the family's 1533-position model. The record is from RNAcentral.
GAGGAGCUUGCUCUUCUUGGAUGAGUUGCGAACGGGUGAGUAACGCGUAGGUAACCUGCCUUGUAGCGGGGGAUAACUAUUGGAAACGAUAGCUAAUACCGCAUAACAAUGGAUGACACAUGUCAUUUAUUUGAAAGGGGCAAUUGCUCCACUACAAGAUGGACCUGCGUUGUAUUAGCUAGUAGGUGAGGUAAUGGCUCACCUAGGCGACGAUACAUAGCCGACCUGAGAGGGUGAUCGGCCACACUGGGACUGAGACACGGCCCAGACUCCUACGGGAGGCAGCAGUAGGGAAUCUUCGGCAAUGGGGGCAACCCUGACCGAGCAACGCCGCGUGAGUGAAGAAGGUUUUCGGAUCGUAAAGCUCUGUUGUAAGUCAAGAACGGGUGUGAGAGUGGAAAGUUCACACUGUGACGGUAGCUUACCAGAAAGGGACGGCUAACUACGUGCCAGCAGCCGCGGUAAUACGUAGGUCCCGAGCGUUGUCCGGAUUUAUUGGGCGUAAAGCGAGCGCAGGCGGUUUGAUAAGUCUGAAGUUAAAGGCUGUGGCUCAACCAUAGUUCGCUUUGGAAACUGUCAAACUUGAGUGCAGAAGGGGAGAGUGGAAUUCCAUGUGUAGCGGUGAAAUGCGUAGAUAUAUGGAGGAACACCGGUGGCGAAAGCGGCUCUCUGGUCUGUAACUGACGCUGAGGCUCGAAAGCGUGGGGAGCGAACAGGAUUAGAUACCCUGGUAGUCCACGC